This 789-nucleotide ribosomal RNA is filed under the name uncultured bacterium. RNAcentral's name for it is "bacterial SSU rRNA". It matches the Rfam family "Bacterial small subunit ribosomal RNA", at positions 64 to 831 of the family's 1533-position model. The record is from RNAcentral.
GUGCGAGAAGUUCCUUCGGGAGCGAGUAAAGCGGCGCACGGGUGAGUAACACGUGGGUAAUCUACCCUUUAGUUUGGGAUAACUCCUCGAAAGAGGAGCUAAUACCGGAGAGACCACAAGAACAUCAGUUCAAGGGGUUAAAGAUGGGGAUCCUUCGGGACCUAUCGCUAGAGGAUGAGCUCGCGGCCUAUUAGCUAGUUGGCGGGGUAAUGGCCCACCAAGGCUUUGAUGGGUAGCUGGUCUGAGAGGAUGAUCAGUCACACUGGAACUGAGACACGGUCCAGACUCCUACGGGAGGCAGCAGUGGGGAAUUUUGCACAAUGGGCGCAAGCCUGAUGCAGCAAUGCCGCGUGGGUGAUGAAGGUUUUCGGAUUGUAAAUCCCUGUCGGCUGGGAAAAACGGCCUUUUGGCUAAUAACCAAGAGGAGUGAUGGUACCAGCAAAGGAAGAGGCGGCUAACUCUGUGCCAGCAGCCGCGGUAAUACAGAGGCCUCAAGCGUUGUUCGGAAUUAUUGGGCGUAAAGCGGAUGUAGGUGGCUUAGCAAGUCAGAUGUGAAAGCCCUGGGCUUAACCCAGGAAGUGCGUUUGAUACUGCUUCGCUCGAGUGCGGUAGAGGAGAGUGGAAUUCCAGGUGUAGGGGUGAAAUCCGUAGAUAUCUGGAGGAAUACCAAUGGCGAAGGCAACUCUCUGGUCCGCAACUGACACUCAGAUCCGAAAGCGUGGGGAGCAAACAGGAUUAGAUACCCUGGUAGUCCACGCCGUAAACGAUGGGUGCUUGCCGUUGGAAGUG